CCACUGUCCGGUUCUGGCUUCCAGUGCGGGGCGGGCCUGAAGCCUCGCAGGCCUCCGGCUGGCGAGUUGCUGCUAUAGCAGACAGUAAGGCCGAAAGUCGGCCGAGCUCCACCCUGCCUCCUUCCUCUCUUUGCCCCAGAGCGCUGCUCAGCUGUGGUUUACGGUGGCACGGGGAACUGAACCUAGGACCCCGGAGCUUCAGGCAUGAGAGUUUUCUCAAACCGUUAGGCUACAUUCCCGUUCUAGCAGUGAGGUGAUUGAGGCUGGGGAGACGGAGUGAGCAGCCCAAGCUCGCACAGCUCGGGGUGCCGGAACCCAGUGUCGGCUGAGGGCACCGGAAGCGCCAGGACCUGACGGUCCAUCCCGGGCCGUCUUGCCUGUCCCACCGGACACUGGAGGCCAGGGAGGCCCGUGGACGUGGAGCCCGUGCACAGCAUUCGCCAGAACCCAAAGCCCGUUUGCACCCGCCGCCCUGCCUCUGAGGGUGUCUGAUACUCCCUGCACCAUUCCAGGUCUCUGAUCUAGUCUGGCUCUUCCCGUCAGAGGGCAAAGACCAUUCAGGGCUUUGCAGGGUGUGCUCGCACCCAGGCGAGGUGAAACGGGGAAGAGGUCCACCUGGGAGCAGGCCCUGUCCUGCGGGGAGGCGGCUGGUGCUGACCUGGGACCCACACAGAGGCCUCCAGGGUGCAGUGAGGCGCCUCUAAGAGGAAGCUCAGUCCAUUUCUUCUUUUUUUUUUUUGCCUCCAGGGUUAUUGCCGGGCUCGGUGUGACACCACGAGUCCACGGCUCCGGGAGGCCGCUUCCCCAUUUUGUCGCCCUUGUUGUCUUUUUUCAGCUCCCAGGGAGAUGAUGCGUGGUGGCUGGAGAGUGGAAUUAGCGUUCAAGGCCCUGAGAUUGAUGCUUAAUACCACAUAUGCCAAAGCAGUGCUCUGUUCUCUUACCUCUUCCCGCUGCGCCCCGCCCGACCCCCAAAAAGGAAUUUUAGAGGGGCAGGGUAGAUAGCAUAAUGGUUAUGCAAAAGGCUUUCAUGCCUGAGAGCCUCAGCUUCAAUCCUCAGCACAACCACAAACCAGAGCUGAGCAGGGAGGGCUCUGGGGGGGAAGAAAAAAGAGAGAAAGAAAAGAAAAAAGUCUAGGGUCCAGGAGAUAGCUCAGCCGGUAGUGUGCGUACUUUACCGUCAGCAAAACUGGGAGCGCCAGGCAGCGGCACACCCGCUAGAGUGAACCUGUCGCCGUGUGCAAGGACCGGGGUUCAACCCCCGCAGCUCACCUGCUAAAUCUUCACAGGCUGUGGAGCAGCCGCAAGUGUCUUUCCUGCUCUCCUUUCCUGCUCCUCUCUGUCAAAACAAAGGAAAGAAAAAUACAGGGUCUGUGAGGACAGAGGCUGUCAUGCAGGCACUGAGCUCCUUAGAUGGCAACUAGUGGAAAGAAAACUGUUUGACAACCCAGCAUUGUGGCUCAGGAGGGCGCAGUGCACGAAGGGCCAGACGCUUCAAGUGUGAGGUCCUGAGUUCAGUUUCUACGUCGAAUGAGCCAGGAUGGUGCUCAGAUCCUCAGCUUCGUCACUGUGUGCACACGGACACACGGACACGCACGCCACCCUGGCACUGGGGAUGUCCACAGAUGGUCGAGUGCUAGUACUCUGCUCUCUCUCCAUCUUCCUCUUCUCUGAGAAAAAAAAAAGGGGGCCAGGUGGUGGUGCACCUGGUUGAGCACACAUUACAGUGUGCCAAGGACCCAGGUUCAAGCCCCUGGUCCCCACCUGCAGGGGGAAAGCUUCAUGAGUGGUGGAGCAGGGCUGCAGGUAUCUGUCUCCCUCUCCAACCCCCCUUGAUUUCUGGCUGUCUCCAUCCGAUAAAUAAAGGAGAAUGGAAGGCUGGA
Erinaceus europaeus (western European hedgehog) is the source of this 1880-nucleotide long non-coding RNA. RefSeq lists it as uncharacterized. NCBI's taxonomy places the organism in Eukaryota, Metazoa, Chordata, Mammalia, Eulipotyphla, Erinaceidae. The transcript is spliced from 2 exons. The record is from RefSeq and is a predicted model, not a curated record.